UCGAACGGUAACAGGGAUUAGCUUGCUAAUUUGCUGACGAGUGGCGGACGGGUGAGUAAUGCUUGGGAAUCUGGCUUAUGGAGGGGGAUAACUACGGGAAACUGUAGCUAAUACCGCGUAAUAUCUUUGGAUUAAAGUGUGGGACCGCAAGGCCACAUGCCAUGAGAUGAGCCCAAGUGGGAUUAGGUAGUUGGUGGGGUAAAGGCCUACCAAGCCGACGAUCUCUAGCUGGUCUGAGAGGAUGACCAGCCACACUGGAACUGAGACACGGUCCAGACUCCUACGGGAGGCAGCAGUGGGGAAUAUUGCACAAUGGGGGGAACCCUGAUGCAGCCAUGCCGCGUGAAUGAAGAAGGCCUUCGGGUUGUAAAGUUCUUUCGGUAGCGAGGAAGGUGGUAAUGUUAAUAGCAUUAUCAAUUGACGUUAACUACAGAA
RNAcentral lists this ribosomal RNA (435 nucleotides) under Actinobacillus arthritidis. Its description in RNAcentral is "bacterial SSU rRNA". It matches the Rfam family "Bacterial small subunit ribosomal RNA", at positions 62 to 486 of the family's 1533-position model. Lineage: Bacteria; Pseudomonadati; Pseudomonadota; Gammaproteobacteria; Pasteurellales; Pasteurellaceae. The record is from RNAcentral.